AGUGAACGCUGGCGGUAGGCCUAACACAUGCAAGUCGAACGGCAGCACAGUAAGAGCUUGCUCUUACGGGUGGCGAGUGGCGGACGGGUGAGGAAUACAUCGGAAUCUACUUUUUCGUGGGGGAUAACGUAGGGAAACUUACGCUAAUACCGCAUACGACCUACGGGUGAAAGCAGGGGAUCUUCGGACCUUGCGCGAUUGAAUGAGCCGAUGUCGGAUUAGCUAGUUGGCGGGGUAAAGGCCCACCAAGGCGACGAUCCGUAGCUGGUCUGAGAGGAUGAUCGUCCACACUGGAACUGAGACACGGUCCAGACUCCUACGGGAGGCAGCAGUGGGGAAUAUUGGACAAUGGGCGCAAGCCUGAUCCAGCCAUACCGCGUGGGUGAAGAAGGCCUUCGGGUUGUAAAGCCCUUUUGUUGGGAAAGAAAAGCAGCAGGUUAAUACCCCGCUGUUCUGACGGUACCCAAAGAAUAAGCACCGGCUAACUUCGUG
This 492-nucleotide ribosomal RNA is filed under the name uncultured bacterium. RNAcentral describes it as "partial 16S ribosomal RNA". It matches the Rfam family "Bacterial small subunit ribosomal RNA", at positions 29 to 507 of the family's 1533-position model. The record is from RNAcentral.